This 1395-nucleotide ribosomal RNA is filed under the name Hysteromorpha triloba. RNAcentral's name for it is "eukaryotic LSU rRNA". It matches the Rfam family "Eukaryotic large subunit ribosomal RNA", at positions 1 to 984 of the family's 3401-position model. The record is from RNAcentral. Lineage: Eukaryota; Metazoa; Platyhelminthes; Trematoda; Diplostomida; Diplostomidae.
CCCUGACCUCGGAUCAGACGAGAAUACCCGCUGAACUUAAGCAUAUCACUAAGCGGAGGAAAAGAAACUAACCAGGAUUCCCCUAGUAACUGCGAGUGAAGGGGGAUUAGCCCAGCACCGAAGCCUGCGGCCGUUUGGCUGCUAGGCAAUGUGGUGUUCAGGUUGUCUCUUGGCAUUACUGCUCCAUCCUAAGUCCAGUACUGAGUAUGGCAUCUGGAGUGGCCCUUGGAGGGUGAAAGGCCCGUGGGGGUGGAGAUCAAGUCGGCCAGUUUUGCCCUGAGUAAACCUUGGAGUCGGGUUGUUUGUGAAUGCAGCCCAAAGCGGGUGGUAAACUCCAUCCAAGGCUAAAUACUAACACGAGUCCGAUAGCGAACAAGUACCGUGAGGGAAAGUUGAAAAGUACUUUGAAGAGAGAGUAAACAGUGCGUGAAACCGCUCAGAGGUAAACGGGUGGAGUUGAACUGUAAGCUCCGGGGAUUCAACUGGUGAGUGUGUCAUGGGCUUGGUCAUUUUCGGCCGGCCUCUGGAGUCCGCUUAGCUGCGGGUCCUUGCUUCUUCGGGAGUAGGGAUGUGCGUUGCGCUUAUCAAGUGCUGUGCGCUCUAGGGGUUGCCGGGCUGGCUCGCCGGUGCACUUUCCCGGAGUGGUCACCACGACCGGCGUUGUUGUCUUGCUGCUGUAGUCGAACCGGCCAGGUUUGGUCCUUGUGGCUGAAUUUGGUCGGGAUGGCAGGUAGCUCAUUGAUUGGCUUGCCAGUCUUUGGGUGUAAUCAGCUGGCUGCAGUGGUUAUGUGCGAUACGUCGGAGACGGCGGCUUCAGGUAUGUGCUUAUGUGCCGUUGGCUGGCAGUGUCGGGUUUGACUGGCGUGUUUACCUGCUUCGGUAGGUCCGUUGGUAGCUCGGUGCUGUUCGGUAGAUGGUUGCGUUUGUGAUACCGUUAAUGGGCCCAUAGUCUGUGGUGUAGCAGCAAACGAUCCACCUGACCCGUCUUGAAACACGGACCAAGGAGUUUAACAUGUGCGCGAGUCAUUGGGCGUUACGAAACCCAAAGGCGCAGUGAAAGUGAAGGUUCGGCUUGUCCGAGCUGAGGUGAGAUCCUGUGGCUUCUCGAGCGAGGUACCACCAAGUUUGUGAGCUAUGGGCGCAUCACCAGCCCGUCUCAUGGUGUAGUCUUGUGGCCUUGUGUCGCUUGCAUCACCGGGGCGGAGCUUGAGCGUACAUGUUGAGACCCGAAAGAUGGUGAACUAUGCUUGCGCAGGUUGAAGCCAGAGGAAACUCUGGUGGAGGACCGCAGCGAUUCUGACGUGCAAAUCGAUCGUCUAACGUGAGUAUAGGGGCGAAAGACUAAUCGAACCAUCUAGUAGCUGGUUCCCUCCGAAGUUUCCCUCAGGAUAGCUG